ACGAGGGGGGCGAGCGUUGUUCGGAAUUAUUGGGCGUAAAGGGCGCGUAGGCGGUUGGAUAAGUCUUGUGUGAAAUCUUCGGGCUCAACUCGAAGUCUGCACGAGAAACUGUCCGGCUUGAGUGUGGGAGAGGUGAGUGGAAUUCCUGGUGUAGCGGUGAAAUGCGUAGAUAUCAGGAGGAACACCUGUGGCGAAAGCGGCUCACUGGACCACAACUGACGCUGAGGCGCGAAAGCUAGGGGAGCAAACAGGAUUAGAUACCCUGGUAGUCCUAGCCCUAAACGAUGAUCGCUUGGUGUGACGGGUACCCAAUCCCGCCGUGCCGAAGCUAACGCGAUAAGCGAUCCGCCUGGGGAGUACGGUCGCAAGGCUG
This 373-nucleotide ribosomal RNA is filed under the name uncultured bacterium. RNAcentral's name for it is "bacterial SSU rRNA". It matches the Rfam family "Bacterial small subunit ribosomal RNA", at positions 525 to 896 of the family's 1533-position model. The record is from RNAcentral.